Molecule: ribosomal RNA, 137 nt
Filed under: uncultured bacterium
Lineage: Bacteria
Description: partial 16S ribosomal RNA
Rfam family: Bacterial small subunit ribosomal RNA
Source: RNAcentral
UGGGGGAUAUUGCACAAUGGGGGGAACCCUGAUGCAGCGACGCCGCGUGGGCGAGGGAGCGCCUCGGCGCGUAAAGCCCUUUCGGCGGGGAGAACGAUGACGGUACCCGACGAAGAAGCACCGGCUAAAUACGUGCC